UACGGAGGAUCCAAGCGUUAUCCGGAAUUACUGGGCGUAAAGAGUUGCGUAGGUGGCAAAGUAAGUAGAUAGUGAAAUCGUUCGGCUCAACCGAAUAUCCAUUAUCUAAACUGCUUAGCUAGAGGAUGAGAGAGGUUAUUGGAAUUCCCAGUGUAGGAGUGAAAUCCGUAGAUAUUGGGAGGAACACCGAUGGCGUAGGCAACUUCCUGGACUGAUACUGACACUGAGGUGCGAAAGCGUGGGGAGCAAACAGG
Molecule: ribosomal RNA, 254 nt
Filed under: uncultured bacterium
Lineage: Bacteria
Description: partial 16S ribosomal RNA
Rfam family: Bacterial small subunit ribosomal RNA
Source: RNAcentral